This is a long non-coding RNA of Cannabis sativa, 517 nucleotides long. RefSeq lists it as uncharacterized. The transcript has 2 exons. The record is from RefSeq and is a predicted model, not a curated record. Lineage: Eukaryota; Viridiplantae; Streptophyta; Magnoliopsida; Rosales; Cannabaceae.
AAAAGGGAAAUUUGAUUUUCUAUGCUUAGAAAAUCAAAAAAUUUGAUUUCUAAACCAAUAAUUAAAACCCUAAAAAAACUAUACCUUUUUUUUCAAAACCCCAAAAAUACCCCCAAACUAAAACUAUCUCUCUUUCUCUCUCUAUCUAGCUGGUCCCAAUAAUCCCACACCCCAGGUCCGAUGGUCGGACCAUGGGGUCCGAUGGGGUCCGACCAAUCGGACCCAUCGGACCCCAAGGUCCGACCAUCGGACCUCUCUCUUCCCCUCUCUCUCAAAUCGCAGGAAAAAAAAAAAAAAAUUAAAGCCGGUCGGACCUUCUGGUCCGAUGGGUCCGACCAUCGGACCCGAAGGUCCGACCAUCGGACCCUUUCUUCCUCUCUCUCCAAAAUCGCGAAAAAAAAAAAAAAAAAAAAAAAAAAAAAUUCAAAGGUCCGACCAUCGGACCUUUGUCUUCUUCCCUCUCUCAAAUCGCAGGAAAAAAAAAAAAAAAGUUUCAGAGAAAAUCGCAGGAAGUGGG